Molecule: long non-coding RNA, 401 nt
Organism: Daphnia magna
Lineage: Eukaryota; Metazoa; Arthropoda; Branchiopoda; Diplostraca; Daphniidae
Exons: 2
Source: RefSeq, a predicted model, not a curated record
UGGAAUGAGCUUCAAUGUUGGUGUUGCAGGUGUUACCCAUGUUACGUUGACUGUUUGGAUUCCUAUUCAUUAACAUUUCAAGACCAAAUUCAUCUUCUUAAAAUUGACUUGAAAGGAUUUGGAUCAUUCUAGGAACAUAUCUAUCAAAGAUGCAAAGCUUUAAUGGGAUUAAUUUAUCCGUCAAGUACGUUUUCAUUUGCAGUCUGUAUGUCCUUUCCGAAGGCUCUGCCAGAAGAAUAUGCUAAAUAAUGAAUUUAUGAAUCGCGUAAGUUACACGAGCAAGAAUUUUUAUGCCUAACGAUGUUUUAUUUUCUUAAUAUAGAUUAAUGAUAAACUUGGAUCUGAAAAGGUUCCUUGGUUGGGGCGAGAUACCGAAUAAAGUUUAAUGAUUGGAUGCACUA